AAUUCCAAAUAGCAUCAUGUUGUCGAUGAGUACGAGGCAACCCUGUAAUGAAGUCCAUAUUCACUAUAUCCCACUUCCAAGUAGGAAUGUUAAUUUCCCAAAGCAUACCACCAGGUCUCUAGUGCUGAACCUUAACUUGGUGGCAAUUUGGACACUUAGCCAUAAAUUUUGCGAUAUUUUUUUUCAUGCCAUUUCACCAAUAGACUUU
Molecule: long non-coding RNA, 208 nt
Filed under: Capsicum annuum
Lineage: Eukaryota; Viridiplantae; Streptophyta; Magnoliopsida; Solanales; Solanaceae
Description: long non-coding RNA (CANN_LNC001076)
Source: RNAcentral